This 468-nucleotide ribosomal RNA is filed under the name uncultured bacterium. RNAcentral describes it as "partial 16S ribosomal RNA". It matches the Rfam family "Bacterial small subunit ribosomal RNA", at positions 28 to 507 of the family's 1533-position model. The record is from RNAcentral.
GACGAACGCUGGCGGCGUGCUUAACACAUGCAAGUCGAACGGAAAGGCCCUGCUUUUGUGGGGUGCUCGAGUGGCGAACGGGUGAGUAACACGUGAGUAACCUGCCCUUGACUUUGGGAUAACUUCAGGCAACUGGGGCUACUACCGGAUAGGAGCUCCUGCUGCAUGGUGGGGGUUGGAAAGUUUCGGCGGUUGGGGAUGGACUCGCGGCUUAUCAGCUUGUUGGUGGGGUAGUGGCUUACCAAGGCUUUGACGGGUAGCCGGCCUGAGAGGGUGAACGGCCACAUUGGGACUGAGAUACGGCCCAGACUCCUACGGGAGGCAGCAGUGGGGAAUAUUGCACAAUGGGCGGAAGCCUGAUGCAGCAACGCCGCGUGCGGGAUGACGGCCUUCGGGUUGUAAACCGCUUUCGCCUGUGACGAAGCGUGAGUGACGGUAAUGGGUAAAGAAGCACCGGCUAACUACGUG